AGUGAGAUAACUGGGUCAAAUGGUGGUUCCUUCUAAGUUUUUUGAGAAAUCUCUAUACUACUUUCCAGAGUGACUGCACUAAUUUGCAGUCCCACCAGCAAU
Molecule: microRNA precursor, 102 nt
Filed under: Marmota monax (woodchuck)
Lineage: Eukaryota; Metazoa; Chordata; Mammalia; Rodentia; Sciuridae
Source: RNAcentral